CUCCCUCCCCCCUCAGAUCCUCUCCCCUCUCCCUCGAUGCAGGGCCAAUCUCUCCCCCGCGCCUCCUGAUCCAACCUCCCACCCACCGCCGACCUCGCCGUCCUCCUCACCCACCGCCGCCGACCUCGUCCCUCCCUCCCCUCACCAUCUCUCCCUCGUCUCUCCCUCUCCCCCGCACCACUCGUCGCCUACUACCUCAGCUAGAUGGGCCAGAUGCUGUGCCUCGUCCGCCCACCCGUGCUCUGUGUCAUUGUCGAGGCCGGCAAACCCACCCUCGUCCCCCUCGUCGCCUAACCCAGCAGCUACCAGCUCAGGCCUAACCCCUACCCCGCAGCCAUGGCCAUGGCCCCGCCGCUAGGGUUUCUCACCCAGCCUUCCCUCGCCGUCACCCGUGCAGGAGGAAGGAGACCGAGUCUCCAGUGGCCAUGAGCGAUGGCAAGGACACCCUCGACAUCUCCGCCCUCGGUGUCGCCGUCCCCAACGCCGCAGAGCUCUGCGCGUGGACUCCUGAGCUCAGCGCCGAGAGCUCAGGCCAACGCUGAUUGUUGACCCUUUCUGCAGUUCUUUCACCACAGCCCAGAUUAUGGAGUUCGACGAGCGCUGCCUCAAGUCCAGGAACCCAAAUUUGAUUGCCUCCUCUUCGACCUCGACGACACUCUGUACCCACUGAGCUCGGGGAUCUCAUCACACAUCAAGACCAACAUUGAAGGUCCAUGACAUCUCGCUGAACCACUACUGGAUGUGGCGUCGACAAAGCACUACACCUGGCUUGCUCGCCGGCGCGCGUGUUCAUGCUUCGAUGCGCGGCGCUUCGUCGAGCUGGACGGACUGCGGCAAUCGCUGGAGCCAGAACCGGAGGAGGCGACAAGAUGCUGCUGUUGCGGCUGCAUCCUCGGAGGCAGCAGCUGCCCCUCGCCGACCUCACCAACCUCCGGCGUCCGCCAUGAGCUCCGCGCAGGACCCCUUCUACAUCGCCCGGGAGGAGAUCCAAGGCUCGCUUUGUCCAUGGAAUACUGCCCUACGACAACAUCAAGCCAAACCCCGUUCUGAAGCAGAUUCUCAAGAACAUGCGCAUCCUCAAGAUCAUUUUCACCAACGGUGACAUGAUCCAUGCCGUGAGAGCCCUCAAGAGGCUUGGCCUGGAGGACUGCUUCGAGGGGAUCAUCUGCUUCGAGAGAACAUUGAAGAGAAUGUACAAGAGAUGUAAAUGUUUUUUUCCUAAGUUGAAACACAUUACUCUAUUUUAUUUCUAUGUGGGUCAAUUUGAUAAGAGAUGUGAAGUCUUGUGAUGAGACCCUUAUUUACUAACAAAGUUAUAUUUGUCCACUGGAUGCAUACCUAUGUUUUAGAUAUACGUUGGUUAGGUGGGUCAUGAAACUGGGAAGAGAUUUAAUUUUUUGUGAUGCCUUCUACAUCAAGUUGCAUCCUUCUGCACAAAAUUUUGUAUGUGUUAUUGGUAUAGUGGAGGAUUAGCAUCCUUUUCUGGUUUGUUGUGAAACGCUUUGGUUUACUCCCUGGUUUUGUUGUCUGUAGGAGUUUGAGUGAAAUUCUGAACGUUGGACUUUCCUGUACGGCUUAAAACUGCACUCUUUUUCACUAAUGAGUAAACCAAGUUAACCAUGAAGUUUUACUAUGUGUAAUCUAUUCAAGUAAUAAAUUCAACUUCUGAUUUGAAGGUUUAAAAUUUCUUGUAAUAAAUUCUACUGAACCUGAACACUACUUGUAUUACUUGGCAAGUAAGAGUGUUUUUCUCGUGUUUUAAGAUAUCUGAAGGUUGUUCACCCAAGUGUUGCGCCUUUAGGGUCAACCCCACGAUGAAUUUAGAUGGCGGUCAUUUGGUAAAUCUGUUUGAAAUUCUGAACCUAUGUAAGGAGAAAAAAAGACCAUAAUCUCUAUGUUCCAUUUUGUCUGUUUAUACAAGUGUUUAUGGGGUGCUAAAUCUGAUGAGAAUGGCGUCAAGGAUCAGAAUAUUCAGUUUUUGUUUUACUUCAGUUCAUGUUGAUCUCCAUAGCAGAACUGCUUGAUGUUGUUGCCCGUGGGAAUCUUGUUGCUUCUGGUUUUUAAGGGGGUUUUGUUUAUGACAGCCAUGGAGCAGAAAAAACCGACAUGCUACUAAUGCUAAGAUGGUUAUGAGAAGAUAUGCUGCUGGAGAGAUGCUCUUAGCAAACUGGAAGGGCUGCAACCAAAUUCAAUCGACAGCAUGGCAAUGGUCUUUGAAUAUCUAAGCUAGUGAUCAUCUUUUCAGCGAUUCCUUUUCUAUUUGGCCGGCCUUCUCGUAGGUUUGCACAUAAGCGGAAGUUGGUAGUGUAUAUUAGCUGUUGUUGGAGCUGUGAUGGCAGUAUAUCUUUUUUGUUGCUUGGCUGUCGCUUCAUCUUUUUGUUGCUGCUGCUUAUGUAUAGAUAAUCUGAUGAAGAUGUAACUGUAACAAAUGAUAUAUGAUUGUAUGGCGA
Molecule: long non-coding RNA, 2450 nt
Organism: Triticum dicoccoides
Lineage: Eukaryota; Viridiplantae; Streptophyta; Magnoliopsida; Poales; Poaceae
Exons: 8
Source: RefSeq, a predicted model, not a curated record